GUCAGCAGCUUUUCAGAAAAGUGAUUCCUUUCUCUUCCUGUGUCUGGCCUCCAUCACUCCUGAUUCUCUGCACCACUGACCACAAGAUUGUGCAAAUUGAAUUCCAAAAAUAAAAGUACGUAAUGGAAACCUGGGUAGUUUGAAAAACAACAAACGCAUUUUUUGAGAAAAAGUCUUUAUGCCAGGAUGAGCAGGUUUUUCUGCUGUAUCAAAACUUGUGCCGUUCAGGAAACUGCAAUGGAAAAACGUUUUCACAUCUUAUGAGUCAAGUGAUCAACAACUGGAUGUUACUGCUGGUGGAAAAGACGAAGAAGACGACAGGAAGUCAUAAGGGGAUGAUGGUGUGCUUCUCCCUGACAGCAGAGCAUCCUAUGAAAGCUCAAGCGUGCACACGAGCCUGAUUGACAGCUUAAAAGCCCUCCUCCUGGUUCUGAUUGGUUGUUUUUGAACGGGAGCUGUGCAUUUCUUCAGACAGCAACGGCAGCAAAGGGAGGAGGCUUUCAUGCAGAAAACAGCCGGCCGGGACAGCGACCAGCAUCCCACCGUGCACUCCUGCUCAAAGUACUGCGACGCAACCAGAGGGCCGUCCUGCAU
Molecule: non-coding RNA, 594 nt
Organism: Poecilia reticulata (guppy)
Lineage: Eukaryota; Metazoa; Chordata; Actinopteri; Cyprinodontiformes; Poeciliidae
Source: RefSeq, a predicted model, not a curated record